Molecule: ribosomal RNA, 253 nt
Filed under: uncultured bacterium
Lineage: Bacteria
Description: partial 16S ribosomal RNA
Rfam family: Bacterial small subunit ribosomal RNA
Source: RNAcentral
UACGGAGGGGGCGAGCGUUAUUCGGAAUUAUUGGGCGUAAAGGGCGCGUAGGCGGCUUUACAAGUCAAAGGUGAAGUCCCUCGGCUCAACUGAGGAACUGCCUUUGAAACUGUAAGGCUUGAGUCCGGGAGGGGGUAGCGGAAUUCCCAGUGUAGCGGUGAAAUGCGUAGAUAUUGGGAGGAACACCAGUGGCGAAGGCGGCUACCUGGACCGGAACUGACGCUGAUGCGCGAAAGCGUGGGUAGCAAACAGG